This is a non-coding RNA of Triticum aestivum (bread wheat), 136 nucleotides long. The record is from Rfam. Lineage: Eukaryota; Viridiplantae; Streptophyta; Magnoliopsida; Poales; Poaceae.
UGUGUACUCCCUCGGUUCCAAAAUACUUGACUUCCAUUUGUCCAAAAAUGGAUGUGCCUAUAUACUAAAACAUGUCUAGAUACAUAUAUAUUUUGACAAAUAGAAGGCAUGUAUUGUGCAACGGAGGGAGUAGAAU